AUACGGAGGGUGCAAGCGUUGUUCGGAUUUAUUGGGCGUAAAGCGCGCGCAGGCGGAAAGAUAAGUCAGGUGUGAAAUCUCGGGGCUCAACCCCGAAACUGCGCCUGAAACUGUUUUUCUAGAAUUUUUUAGAGGGAAGGGGAAUUUCACAUGUAGGGGUAAAAUCCGUAGAGAUGUGAAGGAACACCAAAGGCGAAGGCACCUUCCUGGAAAAAUAUUGACGCUGAGGCGCGAAAGCGUGGGUAGCAAACAGGAUUAGAUACCCCAGUAGUCC
Molecule: ribosomal RNA, 274 nt
Filed under: uncultured bacterium
Lineage: Bacteria
Description: partial 16S ribosomal RNA
Rfam family: Bacterial small subunit ribosomal RNA
Source: RNAcentral